UUUUUUGGCCCAAAAAUGAGUUCGACAUCAUCUGAUCGGCUGUGUCGCUUCUAGACUACUACUCUUGGAGGCUGGUUCUCGUCUUCCCAAUCAUCGCCUAGAAAGACGAAAGGUCAAGAUGUUAAAGAUGAAGAGUCGAUUGGUUUCUCAAUCAUAUUGGUCUAGAGGAUCUUACCCAUAUAUCGAAUAACUAAAUAACCUCUCAGUCUCCCGAUUUCUGUCAAGAACAAAAGAAGUAAUGUAAUUUUUUGAAACUCUCUUGUUUCGUCUAUGGAUUUUGUCGAUGCUUUCUCAUCUUCUUAUUUAUGGGUCUGUCAAUACCUCUCUACUAUCUAAACUCAUCAGAGUUCACCCAUCCUUGAAUUUCAGUAAUUUGCGUUUCUUGAUUCGACUAAAUUCCUUAAUUAUGUAUAACGAAUUUAGUGGUGGGGUUCUCCCAUUCCUGAUUUCUGUGAACGUAAUCCGAAGAGACAGAAGACUAAAGAGUUUAGACGUGAACUCUGAAUUUCUGAUAAUAUCUCGAGAGUGGAGUGUCAAACGGACUUGACUAACAUAGAAGUAUUACGAGUUGCAAGUAUGGGGUGCGUAUGGUUUGCUUGAGGCUUGAUGAUUGUAGAUAGUGAGGUGGAUUCUUAAUUUGUGAGAAUGUAUUGGUAAUGUUAUUACCUAUGAAGGUUAUAAAUAUAAAGUGUUACUAGUGUGCCCUUGAUUAUUGUGGAUGAUGUGAGAUGGAUUCUUAAUUUUAAUUGAACAUGUACCAAUGGGCCAAUGGCCUAGCGGUAUGGAGUGACCAUCUCAUAUGAGAGGUCAGGGGUUCAAGUCUCAGUGGAGACAUAGGUGGUUAUUUAGGAGUAGAUUAGUUAGUUUGCCGUUUCAAAAAAAAAAUGGUGAACAUGUAUUGUAACGUAUAUGACUAUGAAUGGUAUAAAUAUAAAGUUGUAUUAGUUUGUAA
This is a non-coding RNA of Lactuca sativa (garden lettuce), 952 nucleotides long. The record is from RefSeq and is a predicted model, not a curated record. NCBI's taxonomy places the organism in Eukaryota, Viridiplantae, Streptophyta, Magnoliopsida, Asterales, Asteraceae.